Molecule: ribosomal RNA, 609 nt
Filed under: Triticum aestivum (bread wheat)
Lineage: Eukaryota; Viridiplantae; Streptophyta; Magnoliopsida; Poales; Poaceae
Description: partial small subunit ribosomal RNA
Source: RNAcentral
AUGGAAAGUGCUGGAAUCAGCAAACACAAAAUUAUGGAUGUAUUGUGCAUCCUGUAUGGUGGAUAUGACCAGGUUGGAUGCACGACGAGGGACAUCUAUAACUUCUGCCAUCGGUACAAGCAGGAAAUAGUCGCAGGUGGUGAUGCUCAGACGGUGAUCCGUCACAUUAUUGCGCGGCAAGAGAGAAAUCCAGAUUAUUUGUUCAAAUACUUUGAUAGAGAUAGGCAUCUGAAGGGAUUGUUUUGGUCUGAUAGUCAAUCUCGGAUUGACUACGAGGCUUUCGGUGAUGUUGUUUUUGAUAGCACGUACAGGACCAAUAAGUACAAUCUGUCGUUUGUGUUGUUUGUCGGGUUGAAUCACCACCGUGGCACUGCUAUUUUUGGAUGUGGGGUCAUUUCUCAUGAAACUAACGAGGCGUACGAGUGGAUGUUACACACAUUUUCUGAAGCCAUGUCGCAGAAGCAUCUAAUAUCUGUAAUCACUGAAGGGGACCUUGCAAUGCAGAGAGCAAUUAGGGUGGCGUGGCCUGACUCAAACAACAGGCUAUGCGUAUGGCACAUUCAGCAGAACAUUGUACGCCAUCUGCAUGAUGACGAGGUUAAGAAAUAA